Molecule: long non-coding RNA, 243 nt
Filed under: Homo sapiens (human)
Lineage: Eukaryota; Metazoa; Chordata; Mammalia; Primates; Hominidae
Description: HSALNT0133081
Source: RNAcentral
AUCAGGGCAACCACCCCCCAAGCACUCACACAUACAGCAGGGCAAGUACCCACACUCACACACUCAUACACCCAGCAAGGCAACCACCCCCCACACUCACACACACACCAGGCAGGGCAACCACCCCACACACACACCCAGCAGGGCAACCACCCCACACUCACACCCAUACACACCCAGCAGGGCAACCACCUCACACUCACACUGAUACCCACAAGGCAACCAACCCUCACACUCACACUC